RNAcentral lists this ribosomal RNA (1017 nucleotides) under uncultured bacterium. RNAcentral describes it as "bacterial SSU rRNA". It matches the Rfam family "Bacterial small subunit ribosomal RNA", at positions 355 to 1375 of the family's 1533-position model. The record is from RNAcentral.
UGAGGAAUAUUGGUCAAUGGACGAGAGUCUGAACCAGCCAAGUAGCGUGAAGGAUGAAGGUCCUACGGAUUGUAAACUUCUUUUAUAAGGGAAUAAACCCUCCCACGUGUGGGAGCUUGUAUGUACCUUAUGAAUAAGCAUCGGCUAACUCCGUGCCAGCAGCCGCGGUAAUACGGAGGAUGCGAGCGUUAUCCGGAUUUAUUGGGUUUAAAGGGAGCGCAGACGGGUCGUUAAGUCAGCUGUGAAAGUUUGGGGCUCAACCUUAAAAUUGCAGUUGAUACUGGCGUCCUUGAGUGCGGUUGAGGUGUGCGGAAUUCGUGGUGUAGCGGUGAAAUGCUUAGAUAUCACGAAGAACUCCGAUUGCGAAGGCAGCACACUAAUCCGUAACUGACGUUCAUGCUCGAAAGUGUGGGUAUCAAGCAGGAUUAGAUACCCUGGUAGUCCACACGGUAAACGAUGAAUACUCGCUGUUUGCGAUAUACAGUAAGCGGCCAAGCGAAAGCGUUAAGUAUUCCACCUGGGGAGUACGCCGGCAACGGUGAAACUCAAAGGAAUUGACGGGGGCCCGCACAAGCGGAGGAACAUGUGGUUUAAUUCGAUGAUACGCGAGGAACCUUACCCGGGCUUGAAUUGCAACUGAAUGAUGUGGAGACAUGUCAGCCGCAAGGCAGUUGUGAAGGUGCUGCAUGGUUGUCGUCAGCUCGUGCCGUGAGGUGUCGGCUUAAGUGCCAUAACGAGCGCAACCCUUAUCGAUAGUUACCAUCAGGUUAUGCUGGGGACUCUGUCGAGACUGCCGUCGUAAGAUGUGAGGAAGGUGGGGAUGACGUCAAAUCAGCACGGCCCUUACGUCCGGGGCUACACACGUGUUACAAUGGGGGGUACAGAAGGCAGCUACACGGCGACGUGAUGCUAAUCCCUAAAGCCUCUCUCAGUUCGGAUUGGAGUCUGCAACCCGACUCCAUGAAGCUGGAUUCGCUAGUAAUCGCGCAUCAGCCACGGCGCGGUGAAUACGUUCCC